GUCUACAACCAUACCACCAUGAACGUGUCCAAUCUUGUCUGAUCUGGGAAGCUAAGUAGGGUCAGGCCUGGUUAGUACUUGAAUUUCUCUGAUAUUUUCUUAUUGUUAGGUU
This 112-nucleotide ribosomal RNA is filed under the name Microcebus murinus (gray mouse lemur). Lineage: Eukaryota; Metazoa; Chordata; Mammalia; Primates; Cheirogaleidae. The record is from RNAcentral.